RNAcentral lists this unclassified non-coding RNA (251 nucleotides) under Hevea brasiliensis (rubber tree). Lineage: Eukaryota; Viridiplantae; Streptophyta; Magnoliopsida; Malpighiales; Euphorbiaceae. The record is from RNAcentral.
UAUAUUUUGGCAUUUGUUGUACUGUCAAAAUAUGUAAUCUUUAUAUAAUUUCACAAUACAUGUGGUUGAAAUACGUUUAUAAAAACUAAAGAAAUUAGAGCGCUAAAUAAGCUUGUAUGGCUAUCAUGGUUUUGUGUGGUACAUAUAAGAUAUUAACAAAUGUUGGUUGAACUCCUAUGUCCUAAUUGACUAUGUUAACUUAUCAAAUUUAAUGAAUUGGACUAUGUUAACUUAUCAAAUUUAAUGAAUUG